This 421-nucleotide ribosomal RNA is filed under the name uncultured bacterium. RNAcentral's name for it is "partial 16S ribosomal RNA". It matches the Rfam family "Bacterial small subunit ribosomal RNA", at positions 360 to 773 of the family's 1533-position model. The record is from RNAcentral.
AAUUUUGGACAAUGGGGGGAACCCUGAUCCAGCCAUCCCGCGCGUGCGAUGAAGGCCUUCGGGUUGUAACGCACUCUUGGCAGGCAAGACAAGGCUCUGGUUAAUACACGCAGCUGCUGACCGUCCCUGCAGACUAAGCACCGCCUAACUACGUGCCAGCAGCCGCGGUAAUACGUAGGGUGCAAGCGUUAAUCGGAAUUACUGGGCGUAAAGCGUGCGCAGGCGGUUUGGCAAGAAGGAUGUGAAAUCCCAGGGCUUAACCUUGGAACUGCAUUCUUAACUACCAGGCUAGAGUAUGUCAGAGGGGAGUAGAAUUCCGCGUGUAGCAGUGAAAUGCGUAGAGAUGCGGAGGAAUACCGAUGGCGAAGGCAGCCCCCUGGGAUAAUACUGACGCUCAGACACGAAAGCGUGGGGAGCAAAC